CGGGCUUCGGCCUGGCGACGAGUGGCGAACGGGUGAGUACAACAUCGGAACGUAUCCUUUAGUGGGGGAUAGCCCGGCGAAAGCCGGAUUAAUACCGCAUGAUCUCUGAGGAGCAAAGCGGGGGAACCGUAAGGUCCUCGCGCUGUUGGAGCGGCCGAUGCCGGAUUAGCUUGUUGGUGGGGUAAGAGCCUACCAAGGCGACGAUCCGUAGCUGGUCUGAGAGGAUGAUCAGCCACACUGGAACUGAGACACGGUCCAGACUCCUACGGGAGGCAGCAGUGGGGAAUUUUGGACAAUGGGGGCAACCCUGAUCCAGCCAUGCCGCGUGCGGGAAGAAGGCCUUCGGGUUGUAAACCGCUUUCGUACGGAACGAAAUGGUGCAGGCCAAUACCCUGUAUUGAUGACGGUACCGUAAGAAGAAGCACCGGCUAACUACGUGCCAGCAGCCGCGGUAAUACGUAGGGUGCGAGCGUUAAUCGGAAUUACUGGGCGUAAAGCGUGCGCAGGCGGCUCUUUAAGACAGGUGUGAAAUCCCCGGGCUUAACCUGGGAAUUGCGCUUGUGACUGGAGAGCUCGAGUGCGGCAGAGGGGGAUGGAAUUCCUGGUGUAGCAGUGAAAUG
Molecule: ribosomal RNA, 620 nt
Filed under: uncultured beta proteobacterium
Lineage: Bacteria; Pseudomonadati; Pseudomonadota; Betaproteobacteria
Description: bacterial SSU rRNA
Rfam family: Bacterial small subunit ribosomal RNA
Source: RNAcentral